GAUGAACGCUGGCGGCGUGCCUAAUACAUGCGAGUCGAGCGAACAGACGAGGAGCUUGCUCCUCUGACGUUAGCGGCGGACGGGUGAGUAACACGUGGAUAACCUACCUAUAAGACUGGGAUAACUUCGGGAAACCGGAGCUAAUACCGGAUAAUAUAUUGAACCGCAUGGUUCAAUAGUGAAAGACGGUUUUGCUGUCACUUAUAGAUGGAUCCGCGCCGCAUUAGCUAGUUGGUAAGGUAACGGCUUACCAAGGCGACGAUGUGUAGCCGACCUGAGAGGGUGAUCGGCCACACUGGAACUGAGACACGGUCCAGACUCCUACGGGAGGCAGCAGUAGGGAAUCUUCCGCAAUGGGCGAAAGCCUGACGGAGCAACGCCGCGUGAGUGAUGAAGGUCUUCGGAUCGUAAAACUCUGUUAUUAGGGAAGAACAAAUGUGUAAGUAACUAUGCACGUCUUGACGGUACCUAAUCAGAAAGCCACGGCUAACUACGUG
RNAcentral lists this ribosomal RNA (497 nucleotides) under uncultured bacterium. Its description in RNAcentral is "partial 16S ribosomal RNA". It matches the Rfam family "Bacterial small subunit ribosomal RNA", at positions 28 to 507 of the family's 1533-position model. The record is from RNAcentral.